Grammomys surdaster is the source of this 1283-nucleotide long non-coding RNA. RefSeq lists it as uncharacterized. The transcript is spliced from 5 exons. NCBI's taxonomy places the organism in Eukaryota, Metazoa, Chordata, Mammalia, Rodentia, Muridae. The record is from RefSeq and is a predicted model, not a curated record.
CAGCACCCUUGGACCCUAGAGCAACAGAGGAAAUCGCAUGUCUUUCUUGUCGAACACGUUAUCCAAAAAGCUACACUAAAAGCUUACUCGAUGACCAUGGAAGAAAUCUUCUACGCAAGGGCUUGUUUACUGAGCUUACAUAUAUGUGUCUGAGUCUUUCUCCUCUUCCUUCCACCAAUAAAUACAAUACCACUGUGAAAGUUGGCAUGACUGACUGCAUUUCUGCUGUACCAUCAGUGCACUUAGCAUGGAACUGGCUGAGCUAAGAGUCAAUGGUACUGAGAGUUUGGACUGAAAUAUUUCAUUCGAGAGACAAGCGAUGUACUUAAGUAAACAAAGGAGGACCCACGAGAGACAGCAGUCACUCUCUCUGCAUCCUGCUCUGUGAGCAUCUCUGUUCCAUCACAAGACUGAGUGAAAACUGAGACAAGCCAGAAAAUGUUGAAUGUUUCUUGGUCUCGGAAGCCACCACUCUUUCAUUUGAUAUUGAACCUUCCAGUGGAGUCAGGACUGUCUUCAUGAAGCGUAUUUCUGCCAUUUACAGCAGACACAGACCUCCAUCACCGUCUCUGACAACCAGCUGCAUGUGCACAUUCAGAGCACAGUACAGGAACGAGGACCAGAUUACCUUCACCAACGACAGAGCUCUCUUGCUCAUGGAUGACAGUGAGUCCAGUGGGCCAGGUGACUGAGGCAUACACGGGUCCAGAUGAGAAUCAGACAGUUCCAAGAGUUCUCUGGAAUCGUGUAUGUUCCGUGUGAUAGCAAGAGUUGAUAAGACUGCUUCAGGACAACAUCACUGAGGAGGACAAGAGAAGACUCUUGCCAAGUGUGAUGGGAUUAUCAGUUGAUUGUAUGGAAAUCUGAUUGCAGUGAAGAAGGAAUGUAAUUAGUAGCAGCGGCAGCAGCAACUGAGGGGAACAGGCUAUCCUUGGGUGUUGGUGAUAUACCAGGCAGAAUGCCUGGGGCCCUGAGCUUCCCUCUUGGGGGAGCUCCCCUAUGGUGGUGCUUUAGGGCCCGCUAUGGUACAGGAUAUUUAAGUUAAUCUAAUUAGAGAUAUAGUAUUCUUCUGGAGGAAGACAUUUGGUGGACUUCAGUCCACCAAGUUUUGGGCAGUUGAGCUCUUAAAAUAAUUUCCAGGGCACUCUCGGUCUUUGAAUACUGACCAUGUGUACAGGGAAAAGAAUGCUGCAUUCUGUAAGCUUUGAAUCAUAUAUAGAAAAUGUAAUAUCUUAAAUAAAAUUGUUUAAAGUCUGCACCCAAAUGUGGACAUUUAAAGUGUA